UAGGAAUGUCUUAGAGAUGACCUCUGGGCUGUGUUCUGGAACCUGGCACCCAGAAGACCGAGAUUCUCAGGCAGUGUCUUAAGGUGUUUUAAGGAAGGAGACAAGGAACAUCAGUACACCACACUAGAGAUGCUCCACCUCCAACAUACUCAGCUGACUCUGCUGACUCCCUGGAAAUUCCUGAGCUGAUCCAGCCAGCUAAAGAAAGCACUUCCAUGUUCUCUGGGGUCUCAUUUUACCACCACUGAGGAAUCCUGGAAGGUUUCACCACGCCAGCAAGUCACGAUGGAGCAGUCACAUCAUCUGCAACCAGUGGGAACCGGCAUCUCCGUGACCAUGACUAUCCUAAGGGAGCCAUGGGAGAGCAUGGGAGGGUGAGCAUGCUAGUCCCACAGGUCAACCCUUCAUCUAAAGGCUUCCACUCUGCCCACAACAAACCUGACAGUCAACUUCUAUGAUGCGGGGCUCUAGCCUGAGCUUCCUGCCCUGGGCAGUCAGUGUCUUCUUUCUGGCAAGUGUGUGCUACUUUUAACAGUUAUUCAGGAAAAGUUGGACAUCCACUCUCUGUGGCUAGGUACAGGAGACCUGGCAGAAGGACAAGCGGAUGAGAAGGUGGGAGCUCAAA
RNAcentral lists this long non-coding RNA (625 nucleotides) under Mus spicilegus (steppe mouse). RNAcentral's name for it is "lncRNA (ENSMSIG00000027418.1)". Lineage: Eukaryota; Metazoa; Chordata; Mammalia; Rodentia; Muridae. The record is from RNAcentral.